CAGACAGAAGGACAGAUGGACCAAGACACUUGGAGUCAGUCCCACGCAAACACACACAAUGAUCCCCGUCCCCUGGACGGUCAGCUGGGCUGACUCAGCACACCACCACCCCAUGCCUCUCUUCUCCUGCUGAGUGACGUGGGCUGUGGCCUCCUGUCCCCCAGGCCCUGGGGUGCCUCGGACUCUGGAGAGAGGAGCUGUCAGGAAGCCACGUGGGAAGGACGUCCUAGGAGCCACCCCCACACUCGACCCUGUGCCCACCUUUUCUCCUUUCUGUCCUGGGGGUCCCUGCAAAGAGACAGAAACGAGAGAGUUAGGGGGUCAAAGUCCAGGAUAAAGGGGCCCCAAACCUCUCUGCCGGAAACUGGGAAGAGGAGGUACCCACCGGCUGUCCUCGGGGACCCGCCAGGCCCUGUGGAGAGGAAACACACAGGCUGUGUCUCCAAGACGGCAAGGACAGCGUCUCUCUGGCUCCUGUCUCCAUCCCUAGCACCGACUGCAGUGCCCAGCAUACUUUAUAUGCUCAAUGAAAAGGCACCAAGGGGAGGCAGGAGGGGGAAGGCAGGAGGUGGGAAGGCAGGUGGAGAGAGAGGGGAACAAAACAGUGGGGAGGCCAUGAGGGGAGAAGGAAAGGUUUGAGAACUAGGUUCGGAUCCUGUUUUGGAUGUUUCUUGGCUGUGUGACUUCAGGCUAGUUACUUCAACUCUCUGAGUCUCCAUUUCUACAACUGUCAAAGGGGAUACUAAUGGGACCUGGAACACAGGUUCCCACUGAGAAAUAAAUUAGAUAAUACAGUCA
This is a long non-coding RNA of Marmota monax (woodchuck), 798 nucleotides long. RefSeq lists it as uncharacterized. The record is from RefSeq and is a predicted model, not a curated record. NCBI's taxonomy places the organism in Eukaryota, Metazoa, Chordata, Mammalia, Rodentia, Sciuridae. The transcript has 3 exons.